GACGAACGCUGGCGGCGUGCCUAACACAUGCAAGUCGAGCGAAUGAAGUUCCUUCGGGAACGGAUUUAGCGGCGGACGGGUGAGUAACACGUGGGCAGCCUGCCUCAUAGAGGGGAAUAGCCUUCCGAAAGGGAGAUUAAUACCGCAUAAGAUUGUAGUACCGCAUGGUACAGCAAUUAAAGGAGCAAUCCGCUAUGAGAUGGGCCCGCGGCGCAUUAGCUAGUUGGUGAGGUAACGGCUCACCAAGGCGACGAUGCGUAGCCGACCUGAGAGGGUGAUCGGCCACAUUGGGACUGGGACACGGCCCAGACUCCUACGGGAGGCAGCAGUGGGGAAUAUUGCACAAUGGGGGAAACCCUGAUGCAGCAACGCCGCGUGAGUGAUGACGGCCUUCGGGUUGUAAAGCUCUGUCUUCAGGGACGAUAAUGACGGUACCUGAGGAGGAAGCCACGGCUAACUACGUGCCAGCCGCCGCCGCGG
RNAcentral lists this ribosomal RNA (480 nucleotides) under uncultured bacterium. RNAcentral describes it as "partial 16S ribosomal RNA". It matches the Rfam family "Bacterial small subunit ribosomal RNA", at positions 28 to 523 of the family's 1533-position model. The record is from RNAcentral.